GCCUUAGUGGUGUAACGGUAGCACACUCCGCCCGUAUUCGAGAGGUUCAGGAUCGAGUCAUGACCAGGGCA
RNAcentral lists this transfer RNA (71 nucleotides) under Stegodyphus mimosarum. It matches the Rfam family "tRNA". From Rfam's summary of the family: Transfer RNA (tRNA) molecules are approximately 80 nucleotides in length. Lineage: Eukaryota; Metazoa; Arthropoda; Arachnida; Araneae; Eresidae. The record is from Rfam by way of RNAcentral.